UCUAAUAUGGCAGAUUAGUGCAUUGGAUUUAAACCCCAAAAAUAAAGUUUACCCUUUUUUUAGAA
RNAcentral lists this transfer RNA (65 nucleotides) under Anoplophora glabripennis (Asian longhorned beetle). Its description in RNAcentral is "tRNA-Leu". It matches the Rfam family "tRNA". From Rfam's summary of the family: Transfer RNA (tRNA) molecules are approximately 80 nucleotides in length. Their secondary structure includes four short double-helical elements and three loops (D, anti-codon, and T loops). The record is from RNAcentral. Lineage: Eukaryota; Metazoa; Arthropoda; Insecta; Coleoptera; Cerambycidae.